AAAGGGUGCGUAGGCGGCCUGUUAAGUCAGGGGUGAAAGACGGUAGCUCAACUAUCGCAGUGCCCUUGAUACUGAUGGGCUUGAAUUGACUAGAGGUAGGCGGAAUGUGACAAGUAGCGGUGAAAUGCAUAGAUAUGUCACAGAACACCGAUUGCGAAGGCAGCUUACUAUGGUCUUAUUGACGCUGAGGCACGAAAGCGUGGGGAGCAAACAGGAUUAGAUACCCCAGU
RNAcentral lists this ribosomal RNA (230 nucleotides) under uncultured bacterium. Its description in RNAcentral is "partial 16S ribosomal RNA". It matches the Rfam family "Bacterial small subunit ribosomal RNA", at positions 562 to 791 of the family's 1533-position model. The record is from RNAcentral.